Molecule: ribosomal RNA, 253 nt
Filed under: uncultured bacterium
Lineage: Bacteria
Description: partial 16S ribosomal RNA
Rfam family: Bacterial small subunit ribosomal RNA
Source: RNAcentral
UACGGAGGGUGCAAGCGUUAUCCGGAUUUACUGGGUUUAAAGGGUGCGUAGGUGUGUUGGUAAGUCAGUGGUGAAAUCUUCGAGCUUAACUCGGAAACUGCCAUUGAUACUAUCAAUCUUGAAUUAUCUGGAGGUAAGCGGAAUAUGUCAUGUAGCGGUGAAAUGCUUAGAUAUGACAUAGAACACCCAUUGCGAAGGCAGCUUACUACGGAUAUAUUGACACUGAGGCACGAAAGCGUGGGGAUCAAACAGG